Molecule: unclassified non-coding RNA, 305 nt
Filed under: Cortinarius sp.
Lineage: Eukaryota; Fungi; Basidiomycota; Agaricomycetes; Agaricales; Cortinariaceae
Description: partial contains 5.8S ribosomal RNA, internal transcribed spacer 2, and large subunit ribosomal RNA
Source: RNAcentral
CGCAUCUUGCGCUCCCCGGUUAUUCCGAGGAGCAUGUCUGUUUGAGUGUCGUGUACCCUCUCAAUCCCCUCUCUUCUGUUCAGAACAGGAGGGAAGGGGAUUGGAUCGUGAUCGAUGCCGCCCGCGAGGGCAGCCCGAUCGAAAUCGAGACAAGUGGGAGAGUCAUUUCAAAAGUUGGCUGCCCCGACGUUGUAACCAUCCUCGUCAGGUCAGAACGCCAGAAUUGAAGUGAUGAAACCGCUUUGAAAUACACGCACAAUCAAAGGAAUGACCUCAAAUCAGGCAGGACUACCCGCUGAACUUAA